Molecule: ribosomal RNA, 654 nt
Filed under: uncultured archaeon
Lineage: Archaea
Description: bacterial SSU rRNA
Rfam family: Archaeal small subunit ribosomal RNA
Source: RNAcentral
GCCUAAAGCGUCCGUAGCCUGUUCUAUAAGUUUCCGGUUAAAUCCACUAGCUCAACUAGUGGGCUGCCGAAAAUACUGUAGAACUAGGGAGUGGGAGAGGUAGACGGUAUUCGGUAGGAAGGGGUAAAAUCCUUUGAUCUAUUGAGGACCACCUGUGGCGAAGGCGGUCUACCAGAACACGUUCGACGGUGAGGGAUGAAAGCUGGGGGAGCAAACCGGAUUAGAUACCCGGGUAGUCCCAGCUGUAAACGAUGCAGACUCGGUGAUGCGCUGGCUUGUGGCCAGUGCAGUGCCGCAGGGAAGCCGUUAAGUUUGCCGCCUGGGAAGUACGUACGCAAGUAUGAAACUUAAAGGAAUUGGCGGGGGAGCACCACAAGGGGUGAAGCCUGCGGUUCAAUUGGAGUCAACGCCAGAAAUCUUACCCGAAGAGACAGCAGAAUGAAGGUCAAGCUGAAGACUUUACCAGACAAGCUGAGAAGUGGUGCAUGGCCGUCGCCAGCUCGUGCCGUGAGAUGUCCUGUUAAGUCAGGUAACGAGCGAGAUCCCUGCCUCUAGUUGCCACCAUUACUCUCAGGAGUAGUGGGGCGAAUUAGCGGGACUGCCGCAGUUAAUGCGGAGGAAGGAGGGGGCCACGGCAGGUCAGUAUGCCCCGAA